Molecule: ribosomal RNA, 644 nt
Filed under: uncultured Actinomycetes bacterium
Lineage: Bacteria; Bacillati; Actinomycetota; Actinomycetes
Description: bacterial SSU rRNA
Rfam family: Bacterial small subunit ribosomal RNA
Source: RNAcentral
CGCGGCCUAUCAGCUUGUUGGUGAGGUAACGGCUCACCAAGGCAUCGACGGGUAGCCGGUCUGAGAGGACGAUCAGCCACACUGGGACUGAGACACGGCCCAGACUCCUACGGGAGGCAGCAGUAGGGAAUCUUGCGCAAUGGGCGAAAGCCUGACGCAGCAACGCCGCGUGCGGGAUGAAUGCCUUCGGGUUGUAAACCCCUUUCAGCAGGGACGAAAAUGACGGUACCUGCAGAAGAAGCUCCGGCCAACUACGUGCCAGCAGCCGCGGUAAUACGUAGGGAGCGAGCGUUGUCCGGAAUUAUUGGGCGUAAAGAGCUCGUAGGCGGUUCAGUAAGUCGGGUGUGAAAACUCAAGGCUCAACCUUGAGACGCCACUCGAUACUGCUGUGACUUGACUUGAGUCCGGUAGAGGAGUGUGGAAUUCCUGGUGUAGCGGUGAAAUGCGCAGAUAUCAGGAGGAACACCAGCGGCGAAGGCGGCACUCUGGGCCGGUACUGACGCUGAGGAGCGAAAGCACGGGGAGCAAACAGGAUUAGAUACCCUGGUAGUCCAUGCCGUAAACGUUGGGCACUAGGUAUGGGAUCAUAUCAACGGAUUCCGUGCCGUAGCUAACGCAUUAAGUGCCCCGCCUGGGGAGUACGG